UACGUAGGUGACGAGCGUUGUCCGGAUUUAUUGGGCGUAAAGAGCUCGUAGGCGGUCUGUCGCGUCUGCUGUGAAAACUCGGGGCUUAACCCCGGGCCUGCAGUGGGUACGGGCAGACUAGAGUGCGGUAGGGGAGACUGGAAUUCCUGGUGUAGCGGUGAAAUGCGCAGAUAUCAGGAGGAACACCGGUGGCGAAGGCGGGUCUCUGGGCCGUAACUGACGCUGAGGAGCGAAAGCAUGGGGAGCGAACAGG
This 253-nucleotide ribosomal RNA is filed under the name uncultured bacterium. RNAcentral describes it as "partial 16S ribosomal RNA". It matches the Rfam family "Bacterial small subunit ribosomal RNA", at positions 524 to 776 of the family's 1533-position model. The record is from RNAcentral.